Molecule: long non-coding RNA, 1428 nt
Organism: Spinacia oleracea (spinach)
Lineage: Eukaryota; Viridiplantae; Streptophyta; Magnoliopsida; Caryophyllales; Amaranthaceae
Exons: 2
Source: RefSeq, a predicted model, not a curated record
AAGAAACAGAACGCAAAAACACAACCCAAACAUUUAGAAAAAAAUUAAAACCCGGUUAUCUCUCCCUUCUUCCUGCGUACUAUUCUUCCAUGGCGGAAAUUAAACCUCUCAACUGUAUUAUCAAUUGUUCCUCGAUUCAGGUUCUCGCUAAACGUAAUUUCUGAAUAGAGGUCAACGAAUCCCCAACAUGAAGGGGUGUAUUGGAGAGAAGAGGUGUGUUUUGGAGAAGAGAUACUGCUGAAUGUAGAAAUAACAUGGAUCCAGUUACAUGGCGGGAGAAUUUUAGGUUCGAGAAACCAUGUCUUCAGACAUUAGCCAUUAAGAUUCUGAGUAGGGUGCAUUACCCUGUAUGGCCCUAGCUCUCUUCAGAAGCAAGUGAAAUUCCCUGCAUUUUCUUAUGUUUUCAGUUGCAGCAUUAUGGGUUGAUACAUGUGUUACAGUGUUUCACAAUUGAUGUUGGUCUAUGGUGGCUGCCGAGCUGUUGGUCCGUAUAAGUGUCUUCUACUGUCAAAAACUCCCCUGAUGGAUCAAGAUAUUAAAAAGAAAAGAAAGACAUUGAUGGUGAAGAUCAAUGCGGUUACAGAAAUUUAAUGGUUCCAAUAAGAGAUUAUAUAAUUGGUGGUGAUUGGGAUGUUGGAGCUGGCACAGGCUUGAAGGGAAGAAUGCAUACGUGAAAGCACCGUACAAGGGAGAAGAAUGCAGACGUAAAAGCACUAUACAUGGGCUGGUCAAAUUCUAAAAUUGAUUUUGAAGAAAUUUGAAGAUUUAUGUUAGCUUACCUGUUUCAUCUAUCUUGAGAUCAAAGAAAUCUUCAGUUGUUCAGACUAAAGUUCUUCAACUUGGUGGCUAGAAGAUGUAUGCCCUGCUUGUUUGUGUGCUAGCUUAGCUUGGUCACAUUGUACAAGGGAGAUUCAUCCUGCCCUUUUUCUAGUCAAUAUAUGUACCCAAAAAGAGAAUUGCAGCUUACAAACUCUUGGAAAUUAACUGAGCAGAGAAGCACUGAACUGUCUGCACUUGUUUAUUGAGCAGCAGUGCAUAUCUGAUUAAGGAUUAACCGGAAUCAGCUAGCUAUCGUGUGCAUAUCUGAUCCCCCUAGCUUAAGGUUGAAGCUUUUUCAGAGGACUUGUUUUUAGUUCUACUAGUAGGGGUGCCCAAGAAAACUCAAUCGAGGUAUCAAAAUCCUGAAUACAUAAAUUAGGUAUGAAUUUAUUGAAGAACCAAAUAGGAUUGUUAAUAUAAUGAGUUAUAAAGUGAUUUUGAAAGAUGAUUUCGCAUUGUGUUGGUUCCAAUAUGCAAAUAAUGCCUAUUAGCUCAAUUGGUAGAGGUUUGUGCGAUUACACAAUGAUGUAGGUUCGAAUCCUACAUAGGCAACUCUUUGUAUUUUGUUUAUGAUAUUAGUCUCCUACUUGAUUAUUCUUUACUUUUGAA